ACGAGAACAGAAAUCUCGU
This 19-nucleotide small nuclear RNA is filed under the name Arabidopsis thaliana (thale cress). RNAcentral's name for it is "snRNA_01830". The record is from RNAcentral. Lineage: Eukaryota; Viridiplantae; Streptophyta; Magnoliopsida; Brassicales; Brassicaceae.